Molecule: ribosomal RNA, 459 nt
Filed under: uncultured bacterium
Lineage: Bacteria
Description: partial 16S ribosomal RNA
Rfam family: Bacterial small subunit ribosomal RNA
Source: RNAcentral
CCUACGGGAGGCAGCAGUGAGGAAUAUUGGGCAAUGGCCGAGAGGCUGAACCAGCUAAGUCGCGUGAGGGAAGAAUGUCCUAUGGAUUGUAAACCUCUGUUGUCAGGGAGCAAAGUCACCCACGUGUGGGUGUUGGAGAGUACCUGAAGAAAAAGCAUCGAGUAACUCCGUGCCAGCAGCCGCGGUAAUACGGAGGAUGCGAGCGUUAUCCGGAUUUAUUGGGUUAAAAGGGUGCGUAGGGGGGUUAUCAAGUCAGCGGUAAAAUCGUGGAGCCCAACUACAUCCAGCCUGUGAAACUGAUGAUCUUGAGUGGGCGAGAAGUAUGCGGAAUGCGUGGUGUAGCGGUGAAAUGCAUAGAUAUCACGCAGAACUCCGAUUGCGAAGGCAGCCUACCGGCGCCCGACUGACGCUGAAGCACGAAAGCGUGGGUAUCGAACAGGAUUAGAUACCCGGGUAGUC